ACGCGUGGAACCUUACCAGGUCUUGACAUCCUCUGACACUCCUAGAGAUAGGACGUUCCCCUUCGGGGGACAGAGUGACAGGUGGUGCAUGGUUGUCGUCAGCUCGUGUCGUGAGAUGUUGGGUUAAGUCCCGCAACGAGCGCAACCCUUGAUCUUAGUUGCCAGCAUUAAGUUGGGCACUCUAAGGUGACUGCCGGUGACAAACCGGAGGAAGGUGGGGAUGACGUCAAAUCAUCAUGCCCCUUAUGACCUGGGCUACACACGUGCUACAAUGGAUGGUACAAACGGUUGCCAACCCGCGAGGGGGAGCUAAUCCGAUAAAACCGUUCUCAGUUCGGAUUGUAGGCUGCAACUCGCCUACAUGAAGCUGGAAUCGCUAGUAAUCGCGGAUCAGCAUGCCGCGGUGAAUACGUUCCCGGGCCUUGCACACACCGCCCGU
Molecule: ribosomal RNA, 439 nt
Filed under: uncultured bacterium
Lineage: Bacteria
Description: bacterial SSU rRNA
Rfam family: Bacterial small subunit ribosomal RNA
Source: RNAcentral